UUUUUUCUUUUGGGUAAGAGAAAAAGAUUGUCCUACAAUGUGAAAUGUGUAUCCAAAACUCUAGCUGUGUUUGAAAGAAUGUUCCUUCUGAAUAAAUAAUGUCUCAGGAAAUGAAAUAUAACAUAUAAACUAAACUGUUUGUCUUUGUGUUCUGCUUCUCACUGGGAAGCACCAAAGAGUUCAAGUACAAAGAGAAAAGUGGUUUAUUAAAGGGUGCUUGCAUUUGGAUUAUUUUGUUCUGAAAGCCUUGUCUUGUAGCAUUAUAUCCAGGAAAUGCUGCUCUCAAUAUAAGGAAGUGCUCAUUCCAUGGGCCUGAAUCUUUUUGGAUUUUUCUUGAAUGGGGUUUCUGCUUAGGUAUAACAAAAUAUUGGAUAAUGAAGAUAGAAAACCAAUAAAGAGUAAAAAGAAUAUACAAAAUUGCUUAGAAUGAAUUCUGCAUGUAAUUACUUGCAUUUUUGCUAACUACUGUAUAAACAACACUUUUAAUAAGGCAAAUUGGAAACGUGAAGACAAAUCAGCUUAGGGAUAGAGCUUCAAUUUAUUACACAAUGAUAACUGAAAACUUUGUUUCUGCUGCGUUGCAGUCAAUUUCUACUGAGCUCACACUCUGAAUGUGUGAUUAAUCAUAUGAGCACUGGGGUUGCCAAUAAAUACCAAAACCUUAAAACUAUAACAACUUGCUCAUUUUGUGCGGUCAUUCCAAAUAGCUAAACAACCAGAAAUUGUCAAUGUACACCAAGAUCAAUGCUCUGGGGUCUCUACAUAAGAUUGAUUUCCCUCUCUGAGGAUUUUAUCUCUCUCAUCAACAAAAACAUUUUGUCCUCCCUAAAUAAUCCAAUCGAAUGCCAUCCUCCUGUGGAACAGUGAGAGGUUUAAAUUGUUUGGAUUAAUCUCUGCUUUGAGGUGGCCUGGAAAGUCUCUGUAACUUCGUCAAAUAUAGCCUGGAGGGAGAACUGCUGUGGUUUGAUAUGUGCUAAAAAUAAACAAAUAAUGAGAGUGUCUAAAAAUCAUGUUGUGCUUUAAAAAUAAUAUGUGUGUGACAAAAUAUUUUUUAAAGCUCUUGCUACCAAUACAGAAAAUAAUAAUUGUUGUUGUAUUCCUUCUUGCUAAGGCCUACCACCUUCUCUCUGCUGGAGAUGGGGAAGGAGAUUGGGAGCUGUAGGAACAGAUUUAGGGGACAGAAGCCCACAGAGAUCUUCCCCAGAAGAUGAGUGGAGCAGAUCAGAGACAGGACGAAAGGAGCUGUCACCACCCACAGCCUUCUCCCUGCUCUGCACAGUGAAUGCACAGAUGAGGUGCUUUUGGAAGUGUUGGCCAGCAGCUCUCCAUGACUGACACUCCACAGCAGAACACAAGGGUCAAACUUUGCCUAAGCAGGUGACAGAGCAGGUGGAUUGCAUUUGGAGGCUGCAGACUGCACACCUGAGCCAGUCUCAUGGAUAUUUCAUCUGUUUUCCAAUUGACGAUCUGUCAAAGUUUGGAGCAGUGCAUGUACUGAAUGAAGGUUAUAAUAUUUUUACUAGAGAUUCAAGCCCUGGUGCAGAAAGGAGACAGAGACUUCUCCCUGGAAAUGAAUGGCAUGGAGUCUCCAUGAAGAGCACAUGGGGAGAAGAUGCUUCACAGGAGCUCUGGAUCUCCCUGGCACAUGGAGUCACCUGGAGGAGUCUGAGGGCACCCAGGAAAGCACUGAGUUUCAGAUUGCCACAGGACAAAAUCUUGUGAUUCUUAGCUCAGCAAUGAAGUUUUAAUCACCCCAAUAUACAUCUUUCCACGACAUAUAUUUUUCUGUCCACCAAAGACAUAAUGGCUGCUCCUUUUAUGGGAAACCAGGAUUUAAUCCAGCAAAUAAAAUGACAGAAACUGAGACCAUCCAAUGUCCUGCUCUGGUUUUCUGCCUGAAAAUGUUUUUCUCCUCUUCUCUUGCAAAUUUUGGGGCUUCCUAAGUUGCUGAUGUGUGAAAGUGAGACAAGUCUCAACAUUCUUG
Long non-coding RNA from Taeniopygia guttata (zebra finch), 1984 nucleotides. RefSeq lists it as uncharacterized. The record is from RefSeq and is a predicted model, not a curated record. Lineage: Eukaryota; Metazoa; Chordata; Aves; Passeriformes; Estrildidae.